Molecule: ribosomal RNA, 255 nt
Filed under: uncultured Gardnerella sp.
Lineage: Bacteria; Bacillati; Actinomycetota; Actinomycetes; Bifidobacteriales; Bifidobacteriaceae
Description: partial 16S ribosomal RNA
Rfam family: Bacterial small subunit ribosomal RNA
Source: RNAcentral
CGGGUAGAGUAAUGCGUGACCAACCCUGCCCCAUGCUCCAGAAUAGCUACUUGGAAAACGGGUGGUAAUGCUGGAUGCUCAACUUGACGCAUGUCUUGUUGGGAAAGUGUUUAGUGGCAUGGGAUGGGGUCGCGUCCUAUCAGCUUGUAGGCGGGGUAAUGGCCCACCUAGGCUUCGACGGGUAGCCGGCCUGAGAGGGCGGACGGCCACAUUGGGACUGAGAUACGGCCCAGACUCCUACGGGAGGCAGCAGAC